Molecule: ribosomal RNA, 455 nt
Filed under: uncultured bacterium
Lineage: Bacteria
Description: partial 16S ribosomal RNA
Rfam family: Bacterial small subunit ribosomal RNA
Source: RNAcentral
CUACGGGUCGCUCCAGUCGAGAAUAUUUGACAAUGGGCGGAAGCCUGAUCAAGCGACGCCGCGUGCAGGAAGACGCUUUUCGGAGUGUAAACUGCUUUUCAUGGGGAUGAAGAUCGCCUUUUGGUGGUUUGACAGUACCCAUGGAAUAAGGAACGGCUAACUUCGUGCCAGCAGCAGCGGUAAUACGAAGGUUCCGAGCGUUAUCCGGAUUUAUUGGGCGUAAAGGGUGUGUAGGGGGCUAUGUGCGUCUGUUGUUAAAACUCACUGCUCAACGGUGAGAUCGCGAUGGAUACGGCAUAGCUAGAGGAUGCGAGAGGCUUGCGGAACGCACGGUGUAGGGGUGAAAUCCGUUGAUAUCGUGCGGAACACCAAAGGCGAAGGCAGCAAGCUGGUGCAUUUCUGACCCUGAGACACGAAAGCGUGGGGAGCAAAAAGGAUUAGAUACCCCUGUAGUC